CGCCUACUAUCAGCAUGACAGCCAAAAGAAAGCGCAAGCGCAAAUGGUAGUGUAUGGGCCUAGCGGGAUUUGAAGGUGAAGAUGAGAUGUUCAUAUGCUCGGGAUUGACAUGCAAAUAAACCCAUGUUCUUUUGCUUAUUAAUUGAAGCUCUAAUCCCGUUUUCUCUAUCUUCAGAAGCCUGUCCUUGGAAAGCAAGAGGUACUAAGUUCAACUACAAAGAAUAACAGAUGGAAACUGAGCACGGAGAGAUUCAACCUAGGAAUAAGGAGAUUUUUUCUGGCAGAACAAUCAACCAAUGGAACAGAUUGCCUUCAAAAGUUGUGGGAGCUUCAUCACUAGAAGCUUUCAAGAAGAGACUGGACUGCCAUCUGUAGAAUUGAUGGUUGCUGAUACUGGUGAAACUAAAAGAAUUCCAUUGGCAUCCCUUCAGGCUAAGUUCCAGUUAAUUUGCAAAAGGCUUAAAUAGCUGUGAAGGUUCUCGAGAUCCUAAGAGUAGUUACCUGCACGUCUAUCAACACUCAUGAACUGUCAAUAUGCUUCCAUUAAUGACACAAAGCAGCCAUAUGUGGGACUGACCUCUGUUACCCCCUCACAACCCAGCCAGGAGUUCAAGUGGCUUACAAAAGCAUGCUGUGGUUUGAAUGUAAGCAGUGAGUGAAAGCAGCAGCUGGCAAACAAUAUAAAAGUUUGAAAUGACUGCUCAGCAUCAAGAUAGACAUAAUUCUAACAUAAAUUAACAUUCUCUAUGGAAUCAGAGUGAAAUACAAAUCAACUUGAAAGAACAAUUAGAACUGUCUGUAAAAGUUAUCAGCUGUAUAAAUGACAUAGUGUUUAGUUAAUAAAAAUCUAUAGGACAUCACA
Long non-coding RNA from Crotalus tigris (Tiger rattlesnake), 862 nucleotides. RefSeq lists it as uncharacterized. The transcript is spliced from 5 exons. The record is from RefSeq and is a predicted model, not a curated record. NCBI's taxonomy places the organism in Eukaryota, Metazoa, Chordata, Lepidosauria, Squamata, Viperidae.